Molecule: ribosomal RNA, 465 nt
Filed under: uncultured Klebsiella sp.
Lineage: Bacteria; Pseudomonadati; Pseudomonadota; Gammaproteobacteria; Enterobacterales; Enterobacteriaceae
Description: bacterial SSU rRNA
Rfam family: Bacterial small subunit ribosomal RNA
Source: RNAcentral
CCUACGGGCGGCUGCAGUGGGGAAUAUUGCACAAUGGGCGCAAGCCUGAUGCAGCCAUGCCGCGUGUGUGAAGAAGGCCUUCGGGUUGUAAAGCACUUUCAGCGGGGAGGAAGGCGUUAAGGUUAAUAACCUUGGCGAUUGACGUUACCCGCAGAAGAAGCACCGGCUAACUCCGUGCCAGCAGCCGCGGUAAUACGGAGGGUGCGAGCGUUAAUCGGAAUUACUGGGCGUAAAGCGCACGCAGGCGGUCUGUCAAGUCGGAUGUGAAAUCCCCGGGCUCAACCUGGGAACUGCAUUCGAAACUGGCAGGCUAGAGUCUUGUAGAGGGGGGUAGGAUUCCAGGUGUAGCGGUGAAAUGCGUAGAGAUCUGGAGGAAUACCGGUGGCGAAGGCGGCCCCCUGGACAAAGACUGACGCUCAGGUGCGAAAGCGUAGGGAGCAAACAGGAUUAGAUACCCGUGUAGUC